This 1252-nucleotide long non-coding RNA is filed under the name Manihot esculenta (cassava). Its description in RNAcentral is "long non-coding RNA (MESC_LNC006121)". The record is from RNAcentral. Lineage: Eukaryota; Viridiplantae; Streptophyta; Magnoliopsida; Malpighiales; Euphorbiaceae.
GGUAUUGUGCUGUUCUCACAGCUUUGCCAGAAUGGAUUGGAGACACAGUCACUGUGAUAAUUGAUAAUCUCAGAUUGGCUUGGUCUGAAUCAAUUGCUACAAGAUCUGAAACGUCUAAAUACUCUUCUGCAUCGGUCAAUUCAAGGGUCCUGAAAUUUUGGAAAGAUGCAAAAAAGAAGUUGGUGACAAUUGGCCAAAAAUAAUCCGUGUUCCACACUAAAAUAUUGGAUCAACUGAGGUCAGUCAGCUGAAUGAAGCAGUCAGCUAGAUUUUAUUCUGAAGCAACCAACUUCCUGUCCAUUUUCAUUAACAUCGUUCUCAUGAUGAUAAAUAAUUUCUUUUCUUUCCAUCUUUUAUUGAUGUAUGGUCCCCCUUGUUACUUGUAUCCCAAUUAUCCCUGUACUGUUCAAACACUGUUGUCUGUAUAAUUUUCUUGUCAAUCACUGCUAUCUGUGACUCUAUAAUUUUCUUUCUCCAGAUAUAGAGAACAAAUCUCAAUUAUGAGCGAGGAUACUGUUCUAGAAAGCUAGAAAAGAGAUAAGAAUGGUAUAUUUUUAAAAGAGAAGUUAAAAUAAAUAAGAUAGUAUUGAUGAAUAAAACUUCCAAAGACAGAAUCCUGCUGGAAAAAAAAAAGGCUUUGCAAUCCCUAUAUUUUCUGAGUGGCUAUUCCUAUUCUUGUGAAAAUAUCAAAUUCUUCAUUCGUGGAUGCUGAUAAUCCUCAACAUAAACCAACAGAACAAGAACACUAGCGAUAUUAUCCAAGCAAAUAUUGGCAAGUUGUUGUACAAUAAGUAAAAAAUCUUAAAUUAUUAUGUCUAAGCCUUUGAUUUACACAAACGAAGAUGAAAUCUAUCAAUGCACAGGAACACAUCAACGGAAAAUGGAUAACCCAAAAGCUAGUGAUUUCGUCAUAGCACAACAGGUGAACAUCUGAACCAGUUCAGAGAAAUUCAAAAGUAAAAAAAGAAAAGGUUACCUGAAGGCAAGUAGACUCAGUCCCAUUUUUUAAUCCCCCAAAUUCAAUACUUCAAUAUCGCAUUAUCAAGUUCUCAUCAAAAUUUUUGGUUAUUAUUGGCCUCAAAUCCUACUUAAUUGGCUAUCACUGCCACUGGAAGCAACUCCAUUCAGGAUUUCUCAUCUGCUCUGCUCUGCUUCCGCUUGGAAACUGUUACCUGCUAUAACCGUUGGGAGUUGGCCUUGACGGAUAUCAGUAUUGAAUUCGGGGGAUUAAAACAUGGACUUUUGGGUGAAG